GCGGUCAUGCUGGAACAGGCAGACAGGCGCGUUUGAGGGGCGCGUGUCGAGAGACGUGUGGGUUCAAGUCCCACUGACCGCACCA
RNAcentral lists this transfer RNA (85 nucleotides) under Luoshenia tenuis. RNAcentral's name for it is "tRNA-Leu". It matches the Rfam family "tRNA". Rfam says of the family: Transfer RNA (tRNA) molecules are approximately 80 nucleotides in length. The record is from RNAcentral. Lineage: Bacteria; Bacillati; Bacillota; Clostridia; Christensenellales; Christensenellaceae. RNAcentral also lists the same sequence under 1 other name.